RNAcentral lists this long non-coding RNA (3162 nucleotides) under Ananas comosus (pineapple). RNAcentral's name for it is "long non-coding RNA (ACOM_LNC042661)". The record is from RNAcentral. Lineage: Eukaryota; Viridiplantae; Streptophyta; Magnoliopsida; Poales; Bromeliaceae.
AGCUUUCGGAUUUUAUUUCUCACUCUAUGGGUGUCAGAAAAAUAUGAAACCUUAAAUCUAGCCUCAUAAAAAUAUUUCUGACAUCUCCGCCAAUUUUCAUAAUUUUCUGAGACUGUGCAUUUUCUGCUUAUUUUUCUGUCCCGUCUCCAACAGAAAAUUCUAGAUCUUCUGUUUUAAUUCCGAUUUCAGCACAAGUCACCUCUGACUUAUGUUUUACCUCUGUAAAUCUAAUAAAAAUAGUUUCUCACACUAUUUUUAUUUAUUAUUAUUUUUAUACCAAAAUCUGGUAUAUUACAUUCUCCACCCCUUAAAAAGAAUUUCGUCCGCGAAAUUCAAAACACACCUCAAUUCAGCUCCUCGAGCAAUUGAGGGCAUCAAUGCACUUUUUCACUUCGGAAUGGCUUUACACUUCUUGGAACUAUCCAAGAGAACUAUCCAAUAGGACUACUACGGAGCUCAUGAUACCAAACGCAUCCAACUUUGCAAGGCACAUCUCACAAAGUGCAUUACGGUCUCCGUCACUCUAGGGGGUAGCGCAAGUCGAAACUCGACGACUCUAUGCGCUCUAACACCACCUGCCACUCGACACACAAAGAACUUUUCUUUGCAUUGACUUCCCCUUCAAGGAAUGCAUUCCAAAUCAAUCACCGACAUCGCCUAAAAGCAAUAUCAUCGGUGCAUCGCUUCAUCAUAAGUGCUCUAAUUCCGCACUAAACUUUAACUUUGACGAGAGAUGGCCCACCUCGGCGCAUCCCAAUUCCAAUCCUCGAACUCCAUGUGGCUUGCCAUUAGCUCGAGGUUUCACCAAGAGCACUUCAUCACCUGAUACCAUAUGCCACGGUCAACAUCACAUUACUUUCGCAACAACUCACACGAACACUUCGUUCGUGAAUUCGAGUUAGACUCCUCGAUAAGGCUAUCCGCCAAACCGCUCUCUUCGGUCUCCACAGGUGGACCAAAGGCCACCAAUCCUACGUAGGCCUACCGCCUAACCUUUCUCAAUACGCAGCGUCUCUCGCUCGCAAUGCAGACCCAAUCAUCAUUGGGGCGAAAUUCUCACUUGGGAAUUCGCACACACUCCAACCAGGAGCAACUAAGAUCCNUAUCUAUCUAUCUCUCUAUCUGUGCCAGCUUAGACCUAGUGGGAAAACCGGCGGCGUCGGCGGCCGAACCCACUGGGAACUAUAUUUAUAUAGUUCUCACCCCGUGUGGUUUUGGGGUACAGGUACACAUAGAGGCGAGCCGAGCGAGGACCGCGGCAAGGGCAUAGCGCCCUAAGUGAGCCUAGUUAGUAGCUUUUCCUUAUGCAUUAGAGUACCCUCGUGUACUAGUUGAUAUUUUGGAUAGAUAUCAGAGAGCUACUUGUAUUUUGAAGAAAACAUGUACUUACAUUUUGGAAGAUGAAAAUAUAAUAUGUUCAAAUAAUGUAAAUGUUGAACGAUUGUGAUAGUUAGACUAUCUCUCUUUAUACACUUGUAUAUCACUUGUGGUUCUUGCUCUUAGAUGUAUUGCACUUGUGUGCAUCGUAUUUGAUCAUGUAUGUUAUUUAAGCAAAUUUCCUGGGUGCUUAAUUGUACAUGAUCUGGUUGCUUGGCCUUGGGCGGACAGCAGAGGUACUGUCCGUUCGGCGGUCCGUCUGAUGUGCCCGAACCGUGCCAAAUUGGUAGUGGAUUCGAGGCGGGGCGUGACAAACACCACCUGCCACUCGACACACAAAGAACUUUUCUUUGCAUUGACUCCCCCUUCAGGGAAUACAUUCCUAUUCGAUCACCGACAUUGCUUAAAAGCGAUAUCACCGGUGCAUCGCUUCGUCGUGAGUGCUCUAAUUUCGCACAGACCCUUAACUUUAUCGUGAGGUGGCCCACCUCGGCGCAUCCCAAUUCCAAUCCUCAAACUCCACGUGGCUUGCCACUAGCUCAAGGCCUCACAAAGAGCACUUCAUCUUCUGAUACCAUAUGCCACGGUCAACAUUGAACUAAUUUCGCAUCGAGCUCACACGAACGCUUCAUUCGUGGAUUCGAGUUAGACUCCUCGAUAAGGCUAUCCGCCAAACCGCUCUCUUCGGUCUCCACAGGUGGACCAAAGGCCACCAAUCCUACGUAAGCCUACCGCCUAACCUUUCUCAAUACGCAGCGUCUCUCGCUCGCAAUGCAGACCCAAUCAUCAUUGGGGCGAAAUUCUCACUUGGAAAUUCGCACACACUCCAACCAGGAGCAACUAAGAUCCCAAACCGUUACAGAUUCCCGGGUUGGGUCACACUCGCACUCUCAGUAUACUAUCAAUCGCACUACAUGCUCUAUAGCACAAUACGUACCACUAUCGGCUCCUAUGCACCUAGUGCGAGCCACCAGCCCCACGAGUGAUCCGUGGCACGCUUCACACCUAGCAAUGCUCAGGUGCUACUGCCAACACACUCAUCCGGCUAAACUAAAUCCGCACUCCACGAGUAACUAUACUCGUAUAUCGCACGCCUCUAAAGCGCUCCACACUAUGUCCAGCAUUAGGCAACUCUUGCCUAUGCACACCGGCCACACAAGCAUGGCUCACCUACCUCGAUUCAAGGUACUAUUAGGCAAAAGCGCCAAUAGUUGGCAACAAACCGUUCCAUCGGAGCAACAUCCGGAAUACUCGAACCAUUCGAGUGUCCACAAGUGUCACGUCACAACUCUCGCAAUCAGCUAUACAUUGCUCUGCGAGUUAGUCCGUCACUCCCAUCUCUACUGUGAAUCUCAUCAUUAGACCAUCACUAGCAACUCGCUAGUGCCACCCAGUUCUCUACCUGCACCGGCAGGUGCAACGCUUUCACCACAUAAGCGUGCCCGGGUAUUUACAUUUAUCCGCUCACUUGGACCCUACUAUGCUACUACAUAAAUAGUAGUAAUUAAUUACAUGCUCAACGCUACAAUGCACCAACUUUACAUUAUGCAGAAACACAUAACUGCAUUAAUGGCUCAUACCUGCCAUGACGUUGUCAGCAGCAGGUUCCAUAUCCCGGACAUAGUUCACGAUAGGGAGAAUUCCCGUUCGUACUCUCUAACUGAGCGGUCUCCUUGCCGCAGCUUCCUGAACUUGUCCUGAAGCUUUCUCUUUUCACUAUCGGGAGAAGUAAGUAGAAGAUACCAAUCCCCAAAACUCAUCCCAUGCCAUGGAGGAAUACUAGGC